UACGUAGGGGGCCAGCGUUGUCCGGAUUUACUGGGCGUAAAGAGCGCGUAGGCGGUUUAGUAAGCGGAGGGUGAAAUCCCGGGGCUCAACUCCGGGGCUGCUCUCCGAACUGCUAGACUAGAGUACGGGAGAGGAUAGUGGAAUUCCUGGUGUAGCGGUGGAAUGCGUAAAUAUCAGGAGGAACACCCGUGGCGAAGGCUGCUAUCUGGAACGUUACUGACGCUGAGGCGCGAAAGCUAGGGGAGCGAAC
This 250-nucleotide ribosomal RNA is filed under the name uncultured bacterium. RNAcentral describes it as "partial 16S ribosomal RNA". It matches the Rfam family "Bacterial small subunit ribosomal RNA", at positions 524 to 773 of the family's 1533-position model. The record is from RNAcentral.